GGGUAUGGUUAAAGGUUCAAGUUUGGGGUUGUUGGGAGAAUUGAAAAAGAAAAGAAAAGUUAGGCAUUGAGCUUAUGAGUUGAAAAGAAAAUGCAUGAGAAAAGAUGAAAAAGAUAGAAAAAGAAAAAGCAUGAAAAGAAAAGCUCAAUGUGAAGAAAAGGGGAAAAGUUGGGAAUAAGUAAGAUUGGUAAAAAGAGAGAGUUUGUGCUUGAACUAUGAAUGUAUAGAGAACUCUCUUAACUCAAGGGUUUUGUGAUAUAGAAAAACCAAUUUUCCUUGUUAGCCCAACCACAUUAUAAGCCUUGAAAAGUCCUUGUGAUGACAUGUGUA
This 330-nucleotide long non-coding RNA is filed under the name Vigna radiata. RNAcentral's name for it is "long non-coding RNA (VRAD_LNC018137)". The record is from RNAcentral. Lineage: Eukaryota; Viridiplantae; Streptophyta; Magnoliopsida; Fabales; Fabaceae.